Molecule: ribosomal RNA, 1341 nt
Filed under: uncultured bacterium
Lineage: Bacteria
Description: bacterial SSU rRNA
Rfam family: Bacterial small subunit ribosomal RNA
Source: RNAcentral
GACGAACGCUGGCGGCGCGCCUAACACAUGCAAGUCGAACGGAGCUUAGAGAGCUUGCUUUUUAAGCUUAGUGGCGAACGGGUGAGUAACGCGUGAGUAACCUGCCCUAGAGUGGGGGACAACAGUUGGAAACGACUGCUAAUACCGCAUAAAGCCCACGGUACCGCAUGGCACUGAGGGAAAAGGAUUUAUUCGCUUUAGGAUGGACUCGCGUCCAAUUAGCUAGUUGGUGAGGUAACGGCCCACCAAGGCGACGAUUGGUAGCCGGACUGAGAGGUUGAACGGCCACAUUGGGACUGAGACACGGCCCAGACUCCUACGGGAGGCAGCAGUGGGGGAUAUUGCACAAUGGGGGAAACCCUGAUGCAGCGACGCCGCGUGGAGGAAGAAGGUUUUCGGAUUGUAAACUCCUGUCGUUAGGGACGAUAAUGACGGUACCUAACAAGAAAGCACCGGCUAACUACGUGCCAGCAGCCGCGGUAAAACGUAGGGUGCAAGCGUUGUCCGGAAUUACUGGGUGUAAAGGGAGCGCAGGCGGGAAGACAAGUUGGAAGUGAAAACCAUGGGCUCAACCCAUGAAUUGCUUUCAAAACUGUUUUUCUUGAGUAGUGCAGAGGUAGAUGGAAUUCCCGGUGUAGCGGUGGAAUGCGUAGAUAUCGGGAGGAACACCAGUGGCGAAGGCGGUCUACUGGGCACCAACUGACGCUGAGGCUCGAAAGCAUGGGUAGCAAACAGGAUUAGAUACCCUGGUAGUCCAUGCCGUAAACGAUGAUUACUAGGUGUUGGGGGAUUGACCCCCUCAGUGCCGCAGGUAACACAAUAAGUAAUCCACCUGGGGAGUACGACCGCAAGGUUGAAACUCAAAGGAAUUGACGGGGGCCCGCACAAGCAGUGGAGUAUGUGGUCUAAUUCGAAGCAACGCGAAGAACCUUACCAGGUCUUGACAUCCGAUGCAUAACACAGAGAUGUGUGAAAUCCUUCGGGACAUCGAGACAGGUGGUGCAUGGUUGUCGUCAGCUCGUGUCGUGAGAUGUUGGGUUAAGUCCCGCAACGAGCGCAACCCUUAUUGCCAGUUACUACGUUAAGAGGACUCUGGCGAGACUGCCGUUGACAAAACGGAGGAAGGUGGGGAUGACGUCAAAUCAUCAUGCCCUUUAUGACCUGGGCUACACACGUACUACAAUGGCGUUAAACAAAGAGAAGCAAGACCGCGAGGUGGAGCAAAACUCAAAAACAACGUCUCAGUUCAGAUUGCAGGCUGCAACUCGCCUGCAUGAAGUCGGAAUUGCUAGUAAUCGCGGAUCAGCAUGCCGCGGUGAAUACGUUCCCGGGCCUUGCACU